Xenopus laevis (African clawed frog) is the source of this 352-nucleotide long non-coding RNA. RefSeq lists it as uncharacterized. The transcript has 3 exons. NCBI's taxonomy places the organism in Eukaryota, Metazoa, Chordata, Amphibia, Anura, Pipidae. The record is from RefSeq and is a predicted model, not a curated record.
UGCCGCUGAUUGAAGCAGAAUAUGAACUCUCCAUUGACAAAGUUGCGAGAGUAGAAACAUGUUUUGCUAUUGUUUUUGCCUUGGUCAAUCCAUUCUUUGGACAUCUAUCAGAUCAGAUCAGCCGGAGGACCCUCAUGUGUCUGGGAGUAACGUAUUGGACUCUGUUUGUUGCGAGCUGUUCCGUAAUUCCCCAGGAGUGGGGUUGGACCAUCCCUUUUAUACGGAGUGCCGUGGCCGCAAUAGAAAGUUUUUUUGCAGGCAUUUCCCUGACCCUGAUUGAUGACCUGUGCCCACCUGAAAAUCGUCGAGGGACUUUAUGCAUGUUUAACAGUGUCAGCUAUAUAAUGGGGUA